RNAcentral lists this ribosomal RNA (433 nucleotides) under uncultured bacterium. RNAcentral's name for it is "partial 16S ribosomal RNA". It matches the Rfam family "Bacterial small subunit ribosomal RNA", at positions 29 to 507 of the family's 1533-position model. The record is from RNAcentral.
AACGAACGCUGGCGGCAUGCCUAACACAUGCAAGUCGAACGAGACCUUCGGGUCUAGUGGCGCUCGGGUGCGUAACGCGGGGGAAGCGGCCGUUAGGUUCGGAAUAAUUCAGUGAAAUGUGAGCUAAUACCGGAUGAUGUCCUCGGACCAAAGAUUUAUCGCCUUGAGAUGGGCCCGCGUUGGAUUAGCUAGGUGGUGGGGUAAAGGCCUACCAAGGCGACGAUCCAUAGCUGGUCUGAGAGGAUGAGCCGCCACCCUGGGACUGAGACACGGCCCAGACUCCUACGGGAGGCAGCAGUGGGGAAUAUUGGACAACGGGCGAAAGCCUGAUCCAGCUCUGCCGCGUGAGUGAUGAAGUCCUUAGGGUUGUAAAGCUCUUUUACCCGAGAUGAUAAUGACAGUAUCGGGAGAAUAAGCUCCGGCUAACUCCGUG